This 849-nucleotide ribosomal RNA is filed under the name Halobacteriaceae archaeon Ston6. RNAcentral describes it as "bacterial SSU rRNA". It matches the Rfam family "Archaeal small subunit ribosomal RNA", at positions 33 to 883 of the family's 1478-position model. The record is from RNAcentral. Lineage: Archaea; Methanobacteriati; Methanobacteriota; Halobacteria; Halobacteriales; Halobacteriaceae.
UUGGGGUCCGAUUUAGCCAUGCUAGUUGCACGAGUUCAUACUCGUGGCGAAAAGCUCAGUAACACGUGGCCAAACUACCCUACAGAGAACGAUAACCUCGGGAAACUGAGGCUAAUAGUUCAUACGGGAGUCAUGCUGGAAUGCCGACUCCCCGAAACGCUCAGGCGCUGUAGGAUGUGGCUGCGGCCGAUUAGGUAGACGGUGGGGUAACGGCCCACCGUGCCGAUAAUCGGUACGGGUUGUGAGAGCAAGAGCCCGGAGACGGAAUCUGAGACAAGAUUCCGGGCCCUACGGGGCGCAGCAGGCGCGAAACCUUUACACUGCACGCAAGUGCGAUAAGGGGACCCCAAGUGCGAGGGCAUAUAGUCCUCGCUUUUCACGACUGUAAGGCGGUCGUGGAAUAAGAGCUGGGCAAGACCGGUGCCAGCCGCCGCGGUAAUACCGGCAGCUCAAGUGAUGACCGAUAUUAUUGGGCCUAAAGCGUCCGUAGCCGGCCACGAAGGUUCAUCGGGAAAUCCGCCAGCUCAACUGGCGGGCGUCCGGUGAAAACCACGUGGCUUGGGACCGGAAGGCUCGAGGGGUACGUCUGGGGUAGGAGUGAAAUCCCGUAAUCCUGGACGGACCACCGAUGGCGAAAGCACCUCGAGAAGACGGAUCCGACGGUGAGGGACGAAAGCUAGGGUCUCGAACCGGAUUAGAUACCCGGGUAGUCCUAGCUGUAAACGAUGCUCGCUAGGUGUGACACAGGCUACGAGCCUGUGUUGUGCCGUAGGGAAGCCGAGAAGCGAGCCGCCUGGGAAGUACGUCCGCAAGGAUGAAACUUAAAGGAAUUGGCGGGGGAGCACUACA